GCAAAUGAAUUGCAUUAAAAGGCAUAGAAUUCAAUUGUUCCAAAACUGUAAAAAUAUGCAUUUCAAUAACAACUGAAACGCAAUUAAUUUGGUUUCAAUUAUAUUCCCAUUUCAAGAAGGUAUGAAGAAGACAAAUAUAAAAUUAAAACAAAUUAUUUCCUUUUUUUUUUUCCUUUCUUUUCUGCAGAACCGCCCCUUUGUUCUAAUUCUGUUUUUCUACAGAAUCAAGAAACAAAACUUCCUAAAGUAGACAAAUUUCUGUAGGGUUAGCCCAAUGUAGGGAUUUUGUAGGAGUAGAAAUGAUGCCUGUUUCCAAGUCAUAUACCCACCAACCAUCAGCAGAGCAAAGGGUAAAGUAUACGCAAUUUCUCCUACAUCCCACUCUGCUUGCUGACACAGACAUACAGCAAUUGGCACCCAUAAUCAAUGUUACAUCCCUAAGGCUCUCCUUCUUAGUCCAUGUGAGAUUACCUAUAUUAAGCUGGUAAAUUUCCACACAAUCCACCACAUUAAUGGAAUCUCUAGAGACUAUGAAAACUAGCAAAAUCCCCCCUUCUGAUUCAAUCAUACAUUCUCUAAAACGUUUAGAAGAAACAGAAGGAACAGCUCUUUUCUUACCCAAAGCUGUGAUUCUAAGAUCAGAAUCAAUGUCUUCUAUUACUGCAAGAGUUCCGUGUAAACUCAAAGCAUAAAACUUAUCCUUGAACCAAAUGCCAUUAGUGAAUCGCAGAAGAUGGGCUCGUUCAUGCGGGUCAGAACAGUAAGGGUCAAUGAUGGAGCUAUCCUUUUUAAUCCAUUUUUCUGAUUUCUGCCGCAGUUUGUAGAAAGCAAAAGCUGGACGAGCAAUGCCUGUCAAAACGAUCACAGUGCAUUUAUUGUUGUGAUAACGAUAACCUACAGGGUUUGAAGAUGAAGCAGCAUAUACAACUGGAUCCUUGGCAUCCCACAAAGGGGAAG
Molecule: unclassified non-coding RNA, 957 nt
Filed under: Hevea brasiliensis (rubber tree)
Lineage: Eukaryota; Viridiplantae; Streptophyta; Magnoliopsida; Malpighiales; Euphorbiaceae
Source: RNAcentral